This is an RNA transcript of Trichechus manatus latirostris (Florida manatee), 1536 nucleotides long. It is a transcript of the gene named Fc gamma receptor IIb, with no coding region annotated. NCBI's taxonomy places the organism in Eukaryota, Metazoa, Chordata, Mammalia, Sirenia, Trichechidae. The record is from RefSeq and is a predicted model, not a curated record. The transcript has 10 exons.
GAGAAGAAUCUGUCAAGCUUCGAAAGCAGCCUGUGCCCACUGUGCUGAUUGUGAGCUGUUGGAGAAGCCUGCUCCAGCAAGUGAUGGGAAUUGCCUCGUUCCUACCCUUCUUAGUUGGUGAGAGUGACCGGAUUGAUCGCACAUUCUCCUGCCGUUUGGGCCACAUGGUACUGUGGACAGUUCUGCUAUUCCUGGUUCCUGUUGCUGGAACAUCUGAUCUCCCAAAGGCAGUAGUGAACCUUGAGCCACCAUGGAUCAAUGUGCUCCAAGGGGACAACGUGACUCUGAAAUGCCACGGGGCCAACACCUCUGAGGAUAGCUCCACCCAAUGGUUCCACAGAGGGGACCUCAUCCCAACUCACGUCCAGCCCAGCUACAGCUUUAGCGCCACUGCCCACAGCAGCGGGGAGUACAGGUGCCAGACAGGCCAGACCAACCUCAGCGACCCCGUGCAGCUGAGUGUGUUUUCCGAUUGGCUGCUGCUGCAGACCCCUCGCCUGGUGUUUCAAGACGGGGAGACCAUUGUGCUGAGGUGCCACAGCUGGAAGAACUGGAUUCUGUACAAGGUCACGUUCUACCAGAAUGGAAAAUCCAAGAAGUUUUUUGGUAAAAAUUCCAACUUCACCAUCCCACAAGCAAACCACAAUCACAGUGGAGAUUAUCACUGCACGGGAAUGAUAGGGCAAAAUCUCCAGUCAUCACAGCCUGUGACCAUCACUGUCCAAGGGUCUAACAAUGUGAGGAACUCUUCACUGGUGAUGACUAUGAGGAACUCUUCAGGCUCUUUACUGGUGAUGGUUGCCGCUGUGGUCUCAGGGAUUUCUGUAAUGGCCGUUGUUGCUGCUGUAUUAACCAUAUCCUACCUCAGACGAAAGCAGAUUUCAGCUCACCCAGGAAACCCUGAACGCAGGGAAAUGGGAGAGACCCUCCCUGAGCAACCAGCCAGUUUCCCUAAUGCUGAAGAAGCUGCCAAAGUUGAGGCUGAGAAGAUAGUCACCUAUUCACUUCUCAAGCACCCAGAAGGUCCAGAGGAAGAAAUAGGGCCCCCGGAUUACGAGAACUGCCCUUAGUCUCUACUGUCUUGCCCUGGGACUUGGAGAAAAGAAUCAGAGAGGUUGUUGUUGUUAAGCUGCCGUCAAGUUGAGAAUAUAUCAAAUAAAACAAUUGCUUUGUCUUGCUAACACAAGUUCUCAGGAGGCCAAGCUUAAGAUGAGUCACCAGUGGGAAAUGCUGUCUUCUGGCUCUGCUAUUCUCCCAUUAGAGUUACCAGAAGGAGAAGAGUUUCUUGGAGAAGUCAUCCUUGGCAGCUUUCUUGCAGGAUGCCUUUGCUGGAUGCCUGUGGAGAGGGUUUGUGUUCCUGGAACUCUAGUACAGCAUCAUUGUGCAACACUUUUCUUGCUUUCAGGAUUCAACAGCUUCCUCUGUUAGGUAGUUUCCAUAACUUUCUAUGAUACUCACGUUUUAUAGCCCCACAAUCAGCUUUCAUGCUCUCAUAUUGUAAUAAUAAUAAAGAAUGGUAAUUACAAUUGCUGGGUU